Molecule: ribosomal RNA, 311 nt
Filed under: uncultured bacterium
Lineage: Bacteria
Description: bacterial SSU rRNA
Rfam family: Bacterial small subunit ribosomal RNA
Source: RNAcentral
GGAGGAAUAUUGGUCAAUGGGACGCAAGUCUGAACCAGCCAUGCCGCGUGAAGGAAUAAGGCCCUAUGGGUCGUAAACUUCUUUUGUAUGUGAGCAAUAAGGUCCACGUGUGGACCGAUGAGAGUAGCAUACGAAUAAGCAUCGGCUAACUCCGUGCCAGCAGCCGCGGUAAUACGGAGGAUGCAAGCGUUAUCCGGAUUCAUUGGGUUUAAAGGGUGCGUAGGCGGCUUGGUAAGUCAGCGGUGAAAUUCCAGUGCUCAACAUUGGCCGUGCCGUUGAUACUGCUGGGCUUGAAUGCGGAUGCCGUGGGA